UAUAUAUCUCCUUCUUUAUGGACUAUAAACCACCACAUUAGCCUAGCCUAUAAACAAAUUAGUAGUAUGAUCCUCAGAAUAACUUAUGUGGAAUAAUAUAAUCAAUGUUAUUUAUAAGAAAGGAAGAACACAUGCCAUGAUCUAAGCGUUGUGUAUAUUUAGACAAAGGAAAGAAGAAACAAGAUUUCACGUUCAUUAGUACAUGUACAUCGACGUAAACAGAAGCAAAAUAAAACGAAGGAUAAAACAAAGAGAUGCAGGGACAAGCAUGUGCN
RNAcentral lists this long non-coding RNA (275 nucleotides) under Capsella grandiflora. RNAcentral's name for it is "long non-coding RNA (CGRA_LNC000251)". Lineage: Eukaryota; Viridiplantae; Streptophyta; Magnoliopsida; Brassicales; Brassicaceae. The record is from RNAcentral.